UGUUUAUAUCACGAGAAUCAAAACUAAAUACAAAUCACAGAACGAUACGACGCUUGACGUAUGUGUUUCUAAUAUUAAUAAUUAGUGGAAGAGACAAAUUAAUUUCAUAUUCCUUUCCAUAUUCUCGAUUGCACUGAGGAGUAUUUGUGUUAAUGUUGGUGAAUAUUAAAAGGUUGUCGCUUUUCGCUUUGUCAGAUUUUAGACAAGAGCAAUUAUCACUUAUCACCUUCUCUGAUUCGAUUUAGAUAACCUGACAACUGGACCAGAAACAAAAUUUGUCUUUGCCUGACACCUCUCUUCGAAAUUAAUUAAAAAGUAAUCUAAAUAAAACAACUUUCAAGAAUCUGCCUGUGAACGAGCUUUGGAAGAUAUGCGACAAUGUUGCAUUAAAUGGGGUACUGCUAGCUUUGUUUGUGGUGGAAUAGAUACAGAAAUUAACAGAAGGUACAAGAAAUGAAAUCUUAUCAAGAAGAGAAACGAAAAGCCCUUCUAAAAGAUAGAGGUUUUAUCUACAGAUAUCCUAAGUUUUCUGUUUGGUCGCUCACAAUAUUAGGCACACUUGUGUUCUUCUCAAAACCCAUUUAUGAUUUUUUCAUCCGAGAUCAGCAGGAUUUAAGGCUAGAAAUUGAAGAACUUCGGCGAACGCAUAAAUCUAGAUUUGAAAGAGAUUAGAAUGGAGUCUGUAAAAGCUGCUAAAAAAAGACUUCGACAGUAUCCUUUAUUACUUGCUAAGUGUGGAGUUGAA
Long non-coding RNA from Coccinella septempunctata (seven-spotted ladybird), 745 nucleotides. RefSeq lists it as uncharacterized. The record is from RefSeq and is a predicted model, not a curated record. Lineage: Eukaryota; Metazoa; Arthropoda; Insecta; Coleoptera; Coccinellidae. The transcript has 2 exons.